Molecule: ribosomal RNA, 460 nt
Filed under: uncultured bacterium
Lineage: Bacteria
Description: partial 16S ribosomal RNA
Rfam family: Bacterial small subunit ribosomal RNA
Source: RNAcentral
CCUACGGGCGGCAGCAGUGAGGAAUAUUGGUCAAUGGACGAGAGUCUGAACCAGCCAAGUAGCGUGAAGGAUGACUGCCCUAUGGGUUGUAAACUUCUUUUAUAUGGGAAUAAAAUGUUCCACGUGUGGGUUUUUGUAUGUACCAUAUGAAUAAGGAUCGGCUAAUUCCGUGCCAGCAGCCGCGGUAAUACGGAGGAUCCGAGCGUUAUCCGGAUUUAUUGGGUUUAAAGGGAGCGUAGGUGGAUUGUUAAGCCUGUUGUGAAAGUUUGCGGCUCAACCGUAAAAUUGCAGUUGAAACUGGCAGUCUUGAGUACAGUAGAGGUAGGCGGAAUUCGUGGUGUAGCGGUGAAAUGCUUAGAUAUCACGAAGAACUCCGAUUGCGAAGGCAGCUCACUGGACUGCAACUGACACUGAGGCUCGAAAGUGUGGGUAUCAAACAGGAUUAGAUACCCUUGUAGUC